Molecule: long non-coding RNA, 258 nt
Filed under: Lathyrus oleraceus (garden pea)
Lineage: Eukaryota; Viridiplantae; Streptophyta; Magnoliopsida; Fabales; Fabaceae
Description: Pisum sativum (pea) long non-coding RNA (PSAT_LNC032516)
Source: RNAcentral
UUUCUCUAUUUUUUUUUCUUUUCUUUUCACAUCGUAUUCACAAAACAGAUGUUUCUCUUUUCUAAUUUUUUUUUUCAAUGCUUGCUCGGUUUUUCAUGAGUUGUGGCACUUACCGAUCCUCUUUUUCGUUCUCCCCAACUUAUUUCUUACUCACCUUAAGUGAAUGCUCUUGACUUUUUACGGCAAAAGAACAAUUAUCAAAAUUUUCCGGGUUUCAAGAAAAAAGAUUUUUGACAUCUCGCUUUAUUUCAAGCUGAG